CUCCGGGGGACCUCACGGUGGAUGACGGCCUGGACACACCACCUGUCAGUCUGCUGAAAGAGGAUGCUUCAUAAAAGAGAAAGUAUGCAGCAAGCGACGGCUCUCUGGUACAAGGUGCCCUUUUGAUGCCAGAGUGGGCAGAUCCCAGUCCAGUAGAGGUGGAUGGGAUGUGGUGGAACGGGAAAUCAUGACUGUGCAGACAAGAAACCUGCAGCACCUGCGUGGUGCCAUCAUCGAUCCCGCGGAGCUAACGGGUUUCUGCGCUGCUUGCCGCAUGCAUGCCCCAGCUGUACCACCUCGCUCCAGAUGUGCUUGAAGAUGCCCGUGUCACGCUGAAAUAGUUUAGCACAUGGCAGAUCUGGAGGAGAGGUUUGCUAAAAGAAGUGCGUGUUGUUCCAGGCAUUUCCCAAGAUAUUGCUAAUAUUUUUGGAUGAAACACACAAACACAUAUUGUUACAUUUAAUGAAUCACUGACUGUAUGCUGAGAGCUGCUGACAGCUGAGGACAAAUCCCUUAUGUUGCAUACAUGGCCAAUAAAAGCUACAUCAGUUAAUGCUAUAAUGUUAUAAUCUUCAUUUUUAUUCAUAUUUUAUUGUAUUAGUGUUUCAUUGUUACAUAUAGAAUGGUUUUAUGUUCCCAAAAACUCAAACAAAUAAAAAACACUACCCAGAUUAAUAGUUUAUAAUUAUUGAGUAGCCCAACACUCAUGCAUGGAAUAUAUGUUUGAUUGUAUGUUGUAUGUAUGUAUGUUUUAUGAAUUAAUGUAUCUAUGAAUUACAUUUAUUACAUUU
Electrophorus electricus (electric eel) is the source of this 791-nucleotide long non-coding RNA. RefSeq lists it as uncharacterized. The record is from RefSeq and is a predicted model, not a curated record. NCBI's taxonomy places the organism in Eukaryota, Metazoa, Chordata, Actinopteri, Gymnotiformes, Gymnotidae.